This 1347-nucleotide ribosomal RNA is filed under the name uncultured bacterium. RNAcentral's name for it is "bacterial SSU rRNA". It matches the Rfam family "Bacterial small subunit ribosomal RNA", at positions 28 to 1381 of the family's 1533-position model. The record is from RNAcentral.
GACGAACGCUGGCGGCGUGCUUAACACAUGCAAGUCGAACGAUGAAGCCUAGCUUGCUAGGUGGAUUAGUGGCGAACGGGUGAGUAAUACGUGAGUAACCUACCUUUAACUCUGGGAUAAGCCUGGGAAACUGGGUCUAAUACCGGAUACGACCAAUCUCCGCAUGGGGUGUUGGUGGAAAGCGUUAUGUAGUGGUUAUAGAUGGGCUCACGGCCUAUCAGCUUGUUGGUGAGGUAACGGCUCACCAAGGCGACGACGGGUAGCCGGCCUGAGAGGGUGACCGGCCACACUGGGACUGAGACACGGCCCAGACUCCUACGGGAGGCAGCAGUGGGGAAUAUUGCACAAUGGGCGCAAGCCUGAUGCAGCGACGCCGCGUGAGGGAUGACGGCCUUCGGGUUGUAAACCUCUGUUAGCAGGGAAGAAGAGAGAUUGACGGUACCUGCAGAGAAAGCGCCGGCUAACUACGUGCCAGCAGCCGCGGUAAUACGUAGGGCGCGAGCGUUGUCCGGAAUUAUUGGGCGUAAAGAGCUUGUAGGCGGUUUGUCGCGUCUGCUGUGAAGGCCGGAGCUUAACUCCGUGUAUUGCAGUGGGUACGGGCAGACUAGAGUGCAGUAGGGGAGACUGGAAUUCCUGGUGUAGCGGUGGAAUGCGCAGAUAUCAGGAGGAACACCGAUGGCGAAGGCAGGUCUCUGGGCUGUAACUGACGCUGAGAAGCGAAAGCAUGGGGAGCGAACAGGGUUAGAUACCCUGGUAGUCCAUGCCGUAAACGUUGGGCACUAGGUGUGGGGGACAUUCCACGUUUUCCGCGCCGUAGCUAACGCAUUAAGUGCCCCGCCUGGGGAGUACGGCCGCAAGGCUAAAACUCAAAGAAAUUGACGGGGGCCCGCACAAGCGGCGGAGCAUGCGGAUUAAUUCGAUGCAACGCGAAGAACCUUACCAAGGCUUGACAUAUACUGGACCGCAUCAGAGAUGGUGUUUCCCUUCGGGGCUGGUAUACAGGUGGUGCAUGGUUGUCGUCAGCUCGUGUCGUGAGAUGUUGGGUUAAGUCCCGCAACGAGCGCAACCCUCGUUCUAUGUUGCCAGCACGUUAUGGUGGGGACUCAUAGGAGACUGCCGGGGUCAACUCGGAGGAAGGUGGGGAUGACGUCAAAUCAUCAUGCCCCUUAUGUCUUGGGCUUCACGCAUGCUACAAUGGCCGGUACAGAGGGUUGCGAUACUGUGAGGUGGAGCUAAUCCCUAAAAGCCGGUCUCAGUUCGGAUUGGGGUCUGCAACUCGACCCCAUGAAGUCGGAGUCGCUAGUAAUCGCAGAUCAGCAACGCUGCGGUGAAUACGUUCCCGGGCCU